RNAcentral lists this ribosomal RNA (978 nucleotides) under Cortinarius sp. PDD 88258. RNAcentral describes it as "eukaryotic LSU rRNA". It matches the Rfam family "Eukaryotic large subunit ribosomal RNA", at positions 1 to 964 of the family's 3401-position model. The record is from RNAcentral. Lineage: Eukaryota; Fungi; Basidiomycota; Agaricomycetes; Agaricales; Cortinariaceae.
GUGACCUCAAAUCAGGUAGGACUACCCGCUGAACUUAAGCAUAUCAAUAAGCGGAGGAAAAGAAACUAACAAGGAUUCCCCUAGUAACUGCGAGUGAAGCGGGAAAAGCUCAAAUUUAAAAUCUGUCAGUCUUUGGCUGUCCGAGUUGUAAUCUAGAGAAGCGUUAUCCGCGCUGGACCGUGUACAAGUCUCCUGGAAUGGAGCGUCAUAGAGGGUGAGAAUCCCGUCUUUGACACGGACUGCCAGGGCUUUGUGAUGCGCUCUCAAAGAGUCGAGUUGUUUGGGAAUGCAGCUCAAAAUGGGUGGUAAAUUCCAUCUAAAGCUAAAUAUUGGCGAGAGACCGAUAGCGAACAAGUACCGUGAGGGAAAGAUGAAAAGAACUUUGGAAAGAGAGUUAAACAGUACGUGAAAUUGCUGAAAGGGAAACGCUUGAAGUCAGUCGCGUUGUCCAGGGAUCAACCUUGCUUUUGCUUGGUGUACUUUCUGGUUGACGGGCCAGCAUCAAUUUUGACUAUUGGAAAAAGAUUGGGGGAAUGUGGCAUCUUAGGAUGUGUUAUAGCCCUUAGUUGCAUACAAUGGUUGGGAUUGAGGAACUCAGCACGCCGCAAGGCCGGGUUUUUUACCACGUACGUGCUUAGGAUGCUGGCAUAAUGGCUUUAAUCGACCCGUCUUGAAACACGGACCAAGGAGUCUAACAUGCCUGCGAGUGUUUGGGUGGAAAACCCGAGCGCGUAAUGAAAGUGAAAGUUGAGAUCCCUGUCGUGGGGAGCAUCGACGCCCGGACUUGACCUUUUGUGACGGUUCCGCGGUAGAGCAUGUAUGUUGGGACCCGAAAGAUGGUGAACUAUGCCUGAAUAGGGUGAAGCCAGAGGAAACUCUGGUGGAGGCUCGUAGCGAUUCUGACGUGCAAAUCGAUCGUCAAAUUUGGGUAUAGGGGCGAAAGACUAAUCGAACCAUCUAGUAGCUGGUUCCUGCCGA